Long non-coding RNA from Clupea harengus (Atlantic herring), 430 nucleotides. NCBI's taxonomy places the organism in Eukaryota, Metazoa, Chordata, Actinopteri, Clupeiformes, Clupeidae. The record is from Ensembl.
UGGGCGAGGAGGGCAAAGCUGUGUGGGGACGUAGGCUGGAGCUAGAAGAGGGUCUGAUGGAGUACUGGAGGCUGCUGUGUGAGAGCGCUGUGUGUGUGUGUGUGUGUGCUGCUGUGUGAGGCUGCUGUGUGAGGCUGCUGUGUGAGUGUGAGGCUGCUGUGUGGGGCUGCUGUGUGUGUGUGUGUGUGUGUGUGUGUGAGGCUGCUGUGUGAGGCUGCUGUGUGAGUGUGAGGCUGCUGUGUGAGGCUGCUGUGUGAGGCUGCUGUGUGGGGACGUAGGCUGAAGCUGGGAGAGGAUCUGAUGGCGUACUGGAGGCCUUUGUUUCUUAUUGAUAUGAUGGGGGUGGACGCUGCUUUGACAGGUGUCUCCUAGACUCAGGGUUACUGCAUCUGUGUGGGAGGUAUGUGCUGUGUGUCUUUGGAUGUGCGUG